UAUGAAAAAAAGUCAAUUGGAUCUUUACUUGGAUGAACCUAGGGCAGAAAGAAAUGCAAAGAUUGAUAUUCUUUCCUUUUGGAAAGAAAAUGAAUUUCGUUAUCCCGAUCUUGCUUGUAUGGCUCGUGACAUUUUGAGUGUUCCAGUUUCUACAGUUGCAUCUGAAUCUACUUUUAGUGUUGGUGGGCGUAUCAUUGAUCAGUUUAGGAGUGCACUAAAAACAGAUAUUGUUGAAGCAUUAGUUUGCACUAAAGAUUGAUUAUAUGGCGAGGAGUAAGAAACACAAGAAGAAGUUAAAUUGGACGAGUUAACUGAAGAUGUAAUGGAGUUGGAGAACAACAAGGGCAAGGACUUGGAGGACGCUCCACCUCAUUCUUCAAGUUCUAGAUUUGUUUAGAUUUGUGUUUUUAACUUUUAUUAUAUUUGGGAUUGUAAUAUUAAUAUAUUUACUAUGUGUGUUUUGUUUAUUAUAUUUGGGAUGUAAUUUUAAUAUAUUGUUACAAUGUGUGUG
This is a long non-coding RNA of Juglans microcarpa x Juglans regia, 511 nucleotides long. RefSeq lists it as uncharacterized. Lineage: Eukaryota; Viridiplantae; Streptophyta; Magnoliopsida; Fagales; Juglandaceae. The record is from RefSeq and is a predicted model, not a curated record. The transcript is spliced from 2 exons.